CACCCACACUCCUCUGUCCCCACACGGCCCACUGGGCUCUGCACGACUGCUGUGUCCAAAGCAUUGUCCCCUGCAGAAGUUGCGCCAGUCCUCCCUCCACCUCUUGCUGCACUCAGACAGGAAGGCAGUGAAGCCAGACAGGAAGGCAGUGAAGCCAGACAGGAAGGCAGUGAAGCCAGACAGGAAGGCAGUGAAGCCAGCCACGCCAGCCUCAGAGCAGGCACUGAGGGCACUGACGCUCACCCUGGCCCUGCAGAAUCUGUGGAGGAUGGAAAAUCAUGUUAAUCUGUAAUUAAAAAAAUAUAUAACAUCAAAAGGCAUGGACGACUCCCUUUUAAAAAUAACCGCAAUACCGUCACCACACACAGAAAAUUAAGAUUUCUUUAAUGUCAACACCUAUGCUAUCUGUGUUUGCCUUCCUCCAACAGUCUCAUGAACAUUUUAAGAUUUGCUUGCCUGAACUGGGAUCCCAACGAGGUCUACACUUUGUUCUGAACUCAUGCAUCCCUUAAGUGUCUCACUCUACCAGUUUACUCUACAUCUC
RNAcentral lists this long non-coding RNA (544 nucleotides) under Homo sapiens (human). Its description in RNAcentral is "non-protein coding lnc-FOXQ1-12:1". Lineage: Eukaryota; Metazoa; Chordata; Mammalia; Primates; Hominidae. The record is from RNAcentral.